UGAGUAACACGUGGGCAAUCUGCCCUUCACUCUGGGACAAGCCCUGGAAACGGGGUCUAAUACCGGAUAACACUCUGUCCCGCAUGGGACGGGGUUAAAAGCUCCGGCGGUGAAGGAUGAGCCCGCGGCCUAUCAGCUUGUUGGUGGGGUAAUGGCCUACCAAGGCGACGACGGGUAGCCGGCCUGAGAGGGCGACCGGCCACACUGGGACUGAGACACGGCCCAGACUCCUACGGGAGGCAGCAGUGGGGAAUAUUGCACAAUGGGCGAAAGCCUGAUGCAGCGACGCCGCGUGAGGGAUGACGGCCUUCGGGUUGUAAACCUCUUUCAGCAGGGAAGAAGCGAAAGUGACGGUACCUGCAGAAGAAGCGCCGGCUAACUACGUGCCAGCAGCCGCGGUAAUACGUAGGGCGCAAGCGUUGUCCGGAAUUAUUGGGCGUAAAGAGCUCGUAGGCGGCUUGUCACGUCGGAUGUGAAAGCCCGGGGCUUAACCCCGGGUCUGCAUUCGAUACGGGCUAGCUAGAGUGUGGUAGGGGAGAUCGGAAUUCCUGGUGUAGCGGUGAAAUGCGCAGAUAUCAGGAGGAACACCGGUGGCGAAGGCGGAUCUCUGGGCCAUUACUGACGCUGAGG
RNAcentral lists this ribosomal RNA (630 nucleotides) under Streptomyces sp. UTMC 2102. RNAcentral describes it as "bacterial SSU rRNA". It matches the Rfam family "Bacterial small subunit ribosomal RNA", at positions 107 to 751 of the family's 1533-position model. The record is from RNAcentral. Lineage: Bacteria; Bacillati; Actinomycetota; Actinomycetes; Kitasatosporales; Streptomycetaceae.